CAUUUUGACAUUUUGACAUUUUGACAUUUUGACAUUUUGACAUUUUGACAUUUUGACAUUUUGACAUUUUGACAUUAUGACAUUUUGACAUUUUGACAUUUUGACAAUUUGUCAAUUUCUCGGGUAAGUUUUCAAAAAGCCGUAAGAGCCACCGUGACCUCUUACACUAAUUUUCGUUUUUCUCGAAAAUGAAACAAAAUUUCAUUUAUUUUAAGUAUGGGGCACUUUAAGGACGUGUAGAUGAACAAUCUCGAGCAUUUUAAAGUUUGAAGUUACAAAAAUAAUAAUGUCAAGAUAAUUACUAAACCUACCACAGAUAUCUUUUGGUAAUUUUGAAAGUUGUCACAUUUUUAUUAAAAAUCAUUACAAUAUACUUUAGGCAUCAUAUUACAAUACUUAUCCAUCUAAUACAAUGGUGAAAGAACAGUAAUACUCGACCAAAAAUUUAGGAAUCAAAAGGUAUGACGAAUUUGUGUUUGACUUGAAAACGUUAUUACAGAAAUCGUAAUUUGUUUUCGUGUUCCUGAGUAGUUAAAAAUUUGCGUAAUUAUUUCAGCAUUUUUCAAAUGUAAUUACAUUUCUGCAUUGCCAAAUUGUUUCGAUAUUAGGUAACUUUACUACCCAUUUAUUGUGACAAAUCAGACACACCUUAUAUAUUCGAAGAACUUUGGUGCUCGUCUUGCUGGACGGUUGACAGCUUGAACUGACGUUUCAAUGUGUUUGAAAUUUUCACGCUUCAAACAAGUUGCUCUGUUUCUGCUGCUACUUUUUCAUUUAUAAUCAGUUAAUUUGCCAAUAAACGCAGAAAAUUUGGUGGAAAUGUGAAAAAAAGCUUGCUGCUCUUCCCGCUGGCCCUGCGGAAAGCUAAUUUGGCUGAGAUUUUACAAGUUAGCCAUCUCCUAGUGGACUGAAUCAACUGGAACCGGCCCUCAAUGUUCUCCGCCGUGAAAUCAUUUUGUUUCUUCGAAACAGGUUCAUCAAUCAACUCGGGAGUGCGAGAGCUCGAGCCUCGUUGCCGAGCCAUGGAUGGCGCCGCGAAAGUUCUCAAUUCUUGAAUGUUCUGCCCUGAAGGAUGCCCAACACAGGAAAAGAAAAUAAUUUGGAAAUAAAUAAUGCUGUGUGGAAACGCG
Long non-coding RNA from Culex pipiens pallens (northern house mosquito), 1130 nucleotides. RefSeq lists it as uncharacterized. The record is from RefSeq and is a predicted model, not a curated record. The transcript has 2 exons. NCBI's taxonomy places the organism in Eukaryota, Metazoa, Arthropoda, Insecta, Diptera, Culicidae.